UUUUAAUUUUCAAUUCAAUUAAACUCAAUACAAACUUUACUAAACCCUGCAAAGGCUACUGAGGCAGAUGCACACAUGAUAGUUAGGAGAACACACUUUUAAAGCUAAAAUCAAUCAAAUGCUUAAAAGAAACUAUAGCUAUUAUGUAAAUUAUAAUAUUGUGUGAAAGUAUUCAAAUAUUUAGAAAUGUGGAGGAUGAGAAUAUGAGAUAUAUGAGUGAUGAUAACGAAGCACUUUGCAUUAAAUUGUAAUGCUAUAAUCAACAAUUAGUGAUUUUUUUACGAAAGAAAUUGAUUGAACUUCCAGUUUUUCCAGUUUCUUUCAAUCUUGAAUCUGUGAUAAAAGUUUAACAUUUUGUAAAUCAAUUUGAAUUCAGCCAAAUUAAAUAAAAUUGCAGUUAGAAAAGUAAAACACGUACCGAACCGAGCAAUGUGAUUUCUAUCAGUUUUAUAUUUAUGAUCCCAUAGCAAGUUAAAUAUCCCUACAAGUGAAAUUAAUUUCAGCAAAUUAAACUAAUAUGUUACAAAUUGUUUCUCUAAAUUUCUAAUUUAUCUCUGAAAUCUUUAUAUAAUAAUAGUAAAUCUACCCAAAAAUAAACUUUUCAUAUAAAUAUUUAGCCUAUAAGGAUGUUUUUUUUUUUUUAUUAUGUAGAUUCUUUGUUUUUCUUCUUUUAUUUAUUAAAAAUAGGCCUAUUACAAAUGUUGGGAGAAGCCUGGGUCCACACACUUGGCACCCAAUCAGAAGGCUUCUUUUUGCCAUUUUAAUCACCUGACUACGACCAUAAAACAAAUUUGUGCUUCUUGUUUUAGGCUCCCUCAUAGGUGGCAGUGCAUUUAGCAAAUGGCAGAUUGGAGCAGCCCCUCCUCUCUCAUCAGUACAGCUGCUGUCUCUCUACUUCCUGAUUGCUCCUAGUGACAUCAGCUGCUAAAAAACACCAACACAAGUAGCCUUGAAUUUUAUUUUAUCAAUUUUUUAAUAAAUACUCCUCCUUGUUUAUUAUCUACUUCAACCAGUUACAUAAAAGUUACUUUACAGACUGAACUGUUUGUUUCCUGCAUGCUCUCCUUUGAGAGAUGAAAUAAUUUCAGUGUUCAACACCAAGCCCACCAAGUCUCCUGCUGUCAUCAUCAAAACUCGGUGACAGUCGCCGAGGCCUUCUCCUUCAGCUGGUCCAUGUCCAUGUUCUGCAAGUUUUGAAACUGGCCCAUGAUGGAGUCCUUGCCCUCCUCCUCUGUGGCGUCCUCGUCCACCAUCUUGAGCAGCUCUUCGGGCACGUCCACGUCGUCCCCGGCUAUCUCGAUCAUGUUCUCGUCCUGCUCGCUCUGCAGACGACGACGGCGUCGGGGAGAAAACACGGAGGCAGAGGCCUGUACUACGAAGCAAGUUCAACAUACCCAGGUUGUCUACUCGUUA
Molecule: long non-coding RNA, 1413 nt
Organism: Sebastes umbrosus (honeycomb rockfish)
Lineage: Eukaryota; Metazoa; Chordata; Actinopteri; Perciformes; Sebastidae
Exons: 3
Source: RefSeq, a predicted model, not a curated record